UUCGCAAUGCCCGAAAGGGUGACGAAGCGACGCCGCGUGUGGGAAGAAGGCCUUCGGGUUGUAAACCACUGUCGGGAGUUAAGAAAUGCAAGGAUAUUAAUAGUGUCUUUGUUUGACUAAGGCUCCGGAGGAAGCCACGGCUAACUCUGUGCCAGCAGCCGCGGUAAUACAGAGGCGGCAAGCGUUGUUCGGAAUUAUUGGGCGUAAAGAGCACGUAGGCGGCUAUGUAAGUCGGUUGUGAAAGCCUUCCGCUCAACGGAAGAACAGCAUCCGAUACUACAUGGCUUGAGUGCGGGAGGGGAGAGUGGAACUUCUGGUGGAGCGGUGAAAUGCGUAGAUAUCAGAAGGAACGCCGGCGGCGAAAGCGGCUCUCUGGCCCAUAACUGACGCUGAGUGUGCGAAAGCUAGGGGAGCAAACAGGAUUAGAUACCCCGGUAGUCCUAGCCGUAAACGAUGGGCACUAAGUAGAGGGGUUUU
Molecule: ribosomal RNA, 477 nt
Filed under: uncultured bacterium
Lineage: Bacteria
Description: bacterial SSU rRNA
Rfam family: Bacterial small subunit ribosomal RNA
Source: RNAcentral